Molecule: long non-coding RNA, 1858 nt
Filed under: Capsicum annuum
Lineage: Eukaryota; Viridiplantae; Streptophyta; Magnoliopsida; Solanales; Solanaceae
Description: long non-coding RNA (CANN_LNC018420)
Source: RNAcentral
CCAGUCCCAUAAUUUUUAUUAUCAAUACGUCAUUUGUACAAUAAAUUAUUUCAGACCCAUAGAAAAAAAGCGCAAAAGAGAUUAAAAAAAACAUAAGAAACUAGACAACAUUUCCAAUUUCUCGGUGAGUCUUCAUCCACGCCGAAGGCUAGAUAGUAUCUGUAGGACAAAGGCAGCUUAUCCCAAAUGCACAACAAACAAACAUAUGGAGAAACAAUGAAUUCACCAACAUGUCACAUAAACAACUUUAUAGAGUUUAGAAGGCAAACAGGACAGACACUCAAAAUUAUCAUGUAAUAAGCAAAUGCGUCGUCUAAGGAAACUAACCAGUUUGUAGCAAUAAGCAGUUAAAUAAAAGUCUGAAAAUCAGCACUUUGACCUACACACAGCAGUUGUAGUGAAUAAGACACCGAUCCAAAAUUCCUUUUAAUAAUACUUACCUGAGACAAAAGAACUGAAGAGUAUUUUUAUUUCUUUUGUAUAGAGCAAAGAUAGUUAAAAACUUGGUCUUGUAAUAGCCGAUGAAAAAGUAGAUGAAAAGGGAAGAUGAGGGGGUUCACAUAGCUAAACAACAAUAACAACACAACCAGUAUAUUUCCACAAAGUACGGUGAUUUAUAUAGCUAAGGGUCAGGAAAAUAAAAGGAAGGAGAUUAUUUUAUAGAUCAAUUAAGAAAAAAUAAACAUCUCCGAUUUACCUUAAAAGACAAGUCAGAAUAUAUAUUCAAAUUCAAGAGUAGGGUAAAAAUAUUAAUCAAGCUGUAAAAAUAGGGAUACAGAUGGAUAUUUUCCAUAUACAAUUAAAAACACAGUCACAUCAAACUGGUACAAAACAGGUCCAAUUUACCAUAAUUCAGAGUAACCAUCUACUCAGAAUAAAAUCCAGAUGCUUAGCAGGCAAAAAUCACAAUAUACCAAAAGAAUUAAUAUACUAUUGUAAUUAUGCGAGUAAUUCAAUCAACCGAGUCAAAUUUUUAGAAUCAAAGUUGUGAGGUUACCACGACAGUAGACAAUGGAAUUGCAUGCCUAGGAAAAUCGAUCCCUAAUAUUAAAUAAAAUCUAGGGUUGACGAAAAUUCACAAAAAUUAGGCAUUCUUGCAUAUGUUGAUCUAAACACAUAAACACAUACGAAAUUGAAAGAAUCAAUUCAAAAUUCACAGUCAUAUUUCAUUAAUUUUUAAAUCCAAAGAAAAAAAUCAGUCAGGGGAAAAAUGGGUAGAAAGAGGAAAUUCACAUAUAGCAACAAGCCUGAGACGGAUUCCGAGAUUCAUCAUGGACUUUACUCUUUUUCGACGUCAGUUGGCCGUAGUUUGGAAUAGCAUCGUGGGUAUGGUGUUGUUUUCCAGCGGAGAAUGAUAGACACUUUCCGAAACCCUGUUAGAAAGGUGGCGGCGAUAGGCGGUUCACUGGCUACCGAUGAACGGAGCGACGACUUUUAUUGGAGUUUUGUCAAUUGAGUGGCAACCAUUGGUUGAAGGCAGCGACUGGGAACAUAGAAGUGGGGGCGAGUGUGGUCGCCUUCAACAGCUAGAGCGAAGCAAGGAAGACAGAAGGCUCCGGAGUGGCUCGCUGACCUAAGUCUCAGCUGGAGAAGGAUAUGGUGCUAUCGGAUUCUAGAGAGAAAGAGAGAAAGAGAGGAGAGAAGGGGUUGGCGAUGGGUGGACUGUUGUUGUGGUGGUGGCGCCGGAGGUAAAGAGAAAGGGGGAGAGAGAAAAGGAGAAAAAAUAAAGAGGGCGGUGACAACAAUCAUGGCUGUUGCUGUUAAGGCCAUGGUGUUGAUAGAGGGGGAAGAGAGAGAGGAGAGGGAGGUGCAGUUGUGAGGGAUGAAAUGGUUAGGCUUUGGGGUAAUUGGGUAUAAA